CAGUAGCCGCGGUAACACAGAGGGUGCGAGCGUUAAUCGGAUUUACUGGGCGUAAAGCGUGCGUAGGCGGCUUUUUAAGUCGGAUGUGAAAUCCCUGAGCUUAACUUAGGAAUUGCAUUCGAUACUGGGAAGCUAGAGUAUGGGAGAGGAUGGUAGAAUUCCAGGUGUAGCGGUGAAAUGCGUAGAGAUCUGGAGGAAUACCGAUGGCGAAGGCAGCCAUCUGGCCUAAUACUGACGCUGAGGUACGAAAGCAUGGGGAGCAAACAGGAUUAGAUACCCCAGUAGUCCCUGUCUCUUAUAC
Molecule: ribosomal RNA, 301 nt
Filed under: uncultured bacterium
Lineage: Bacteria
Description: partial 16S ribosomal RNA
Rfam family: Bacterial small subunit ribosomal RNA
Source: RNAcentral